CCUUGUGGAGGAGGACGCCGAAGGUGGGGCUAAUGACUGGGGUGAAGUCGUAACAAGGUAGCCGUACCGGAAGGUGCGGCUGGAUCACCUCCUAACAGGGAGACAACAAAAUGUUAAAUAUUAAUUUUGUCACCUUAGGUCGAUCGGUAUCUCACAUUCUUAAUCUUUUAAGAAUUUUAUUUCCUAAGUUUUUUCUAGGUCACACCCAUUAUUUUCCUGGGCCAUUAGCUCAGGUGGUUAGAGCGCACCCCUGAUAAGGGUGAGGUCCCUGGUUCAAGUCCAGGAUGGCCCAUAUCUCUAUGUUGGGGGUAUAGCUCAGUUGGUAGAGCGCCUGCUUUGCAAGCAGGAUGUCAGCGGUUCGAGUCCGCUUACCUCCACUGAUUACCACCUCUUCCAUGAUUUAUUGAAGGGAAAGUUUUCGGUGUGAUCAAAUUCUGAACGAAUCUAGCUUCCUAAUCAAAUUUUUUAAGAUGCUGGACUCAUUGAAUUAAUUUCAUUGUUUUCAGAGAACCUUGACAACUGCAUAGAUUAUUUUAAAGACAAUAAGCAUCUUUAAUGAUGCAGAUUUAUUAUUUGUGCGAAUGCAUUAAUAACAAUUCUAUUGAGCUGAUGCUUCAAAUUUUGAAGUUAUUGGUCAAGCUACAAAGGGCUCACGGAGGAUACCUAGGCACACAGAGGC
Molecule: unclassified non-coding RNA, 679 nt
Filed under: uncultured Prochlorococcus sp.
Lineage: Bacteria; Bacillati; Cyanobacteriota; Cyanophyceae; Synechococcales; Prochlorococcaceae
Description: partial may contain 16S ribosomal RNA, 16S-23S ribosomal RNA intergenic spacer, and 23S ribosomal RNA
Rfam family: Bacterial small subunit ribosomal RNA (bases 1-95)
Source: RNAcentral